GAGUUUGAUCAUGGCUCAGGAUGAACGCUAGCGGCAGGCCUAACACAUGCAAGUCGAGGGGUAACAUAGAGUGCUUGCACUCUGAUGACGACCGGCGCACGGGUGAGUAACGCGUAUACAAUCUGCCUCAUACUAGGGGAUAGCCCAGAGAAAUUUGGAUUAAUACCCUAUAGUAUCUUUUAGAGUCAUCUCUUUAAGAUUAAAGGUUACGGUAUGAGAUGAGUAUGCGUUCUAUUAGUUAGUAGGUGAGGUAACGGCUCACCUAGACCACGAUAGAUAGGGGCCCUGAGAGGGGGAUCCCCCACACUGGUACUGAGACACGGACCAGACUCCUACGGGAGGCAGCAGUGAGGAAUAUUAGACAAUGGGCGAAAGCCUGAUCUAGCCAUGCCGCGUGCAGGAUGACGGCCCUAUGGGUUGUAAACUGCUUUUAUACAGGAAGAAAAAACUCUACGUGUAGAGUCUUGACGGUACUGUAGGAAUAAGGAUCGGCUAACUCCGUGCCAGCAGCCGCGGUAAUACGGAGGAUCCAAGCGUUAUCCGGAAUUAUUGGGUUUAAAGGGUCCGUAGGUGGACAAUUAAGUCAGAGGUGAAAUCCUGCAGCUCAACUGUAGAAUUGCCUUUGAAACUGGUUGUCUUGAGUCAUUAUGAAGUGGUUAGAAUGUGUAGUGUAGCGGUGAAAUGCAUAGAUAUUACACAGAAUACCAAUUGCGAAGGCAGAUCACUAAUAACGUACUGACACUGAUGGACGAAAGCGUGGGUAGCGAACAGGAUUAGAUACCCUGGUAGUCCACGCCGUAAACGAUGGUCACUAGCUGUUCGGACUUCGGUCUGAGUGGCUAAGCGAAAGUGAUAAGUGACCCACCUGGGGAGUACGUUCGCAAGAAUGAAACUCAAAGGAAUUGACGGGGGCCCGCACAAGCGGUGGAGCAUGUGGUUUAAUUCGAUGAUACGCGAGGAACCUUACCAGGGCUUAAAUGUAGAGUGACAGGUCUAGAGAUAGAUUUUUCUUCGGACACUUUACAAGGUGCUGCAUGGUUGUCGUCAGCUCGUGCCGUGAGGUGUCAGGUUAAGUCCUAUAACGAGCGCAACCCCUGUUGUUAGUUGCCAGCGAGUAAUGUCGGGAACUCUAGCAAGACUACUAGUGCAAACUGAGAGGAAGGUGGGGAUGACGUCAAAUCAUCACGGCCCUUAUGUCUUGGGCUACACACGUGCUACAAUGGUUACUACAAUGUGAUGCCAUCUGGUGACAGAGAGCUAAUCAAUAAAGGUAAUCUCAGUUCGGAUUGGAGUCUGCAACUCGACUCUAUGAAGUUGGAUUCGCUAGUAAUCGUAUAUCAGCCAUGAUACGGUGAAUACGUUCCCGGGCCUUGUACACACCGCCCGUCAAGCCAUGGAAGUUUGGGGUACCUGAAGUCAGUAACCGCAAGGAACUGCCUAGGGUAAAACGAAUAACUAGGGCUAAGUCGUAACAAGGUAACC
RNAcentral lists this ribosomal RNA (1482 nucleotides) under uncultured marine bacterium. Its description in RNAcentral is "bacterial SSU rRNA". It matches the Rfam family "Bacterial small subunit ribosomal RNA". The record is from RNAcentral.